This 470-nucleotide long non-coding RNA is filed under the name Homo sapiens (human). RNAcentral's name for it is "non-protein coding BCAR4:7". The record is from RNAcentral. Lineage: Eukaryota; Metazoa; Chordata; Mammalia; Primates; Hominidae.
AACAGUGCUAAGAAGGAUACAGUGGCUAGAAGUCGUCCUGUCGUCCUGCCUCACAGUAACAUCGUUACCGAAUUCUCAGCAGGUGAACCAAAUGAAAUGGUCAACUGAAAGCCAACCAGGCAAAAAAUCACCAUGUACCAACCUAUCCAAACUUAUCCAUGGAUGAAUCUAUCCAGAAGACGGGAGUUCCGAUGCUUGUCUUGCUCUGAAUGUCUGCUUGUCACCUGCUUAGGGUUAUCGACUGUGAUUCUGGGACUCAUUGUUGUUCUACAGGACCCCUCUGACUCUGUGGUUUUCUCUACUGGAUUAACAAUGAUAGCCAUAGGUGCUUUUUUUGUUGUCCUCACUGGAGUGACAGCCCUGUGUACGGUUACAGUCGACGAGAACUUGCAGAAAACCACGAGGCUAAGACUAGGAGUGAUACGAAAAAGCGGAAGUCUCCAAGGAACUACAGAGCCUUCCAUGACUCA